This is a non-coding RNA of Mycena epipterygia, 89 nucleotides long. The record is from the annotation of a GenBank genome assembly. Lineage: Eukaryota; Fungi; Basidiomycota; Agaricomycetes; Agaricales; Mycenaceae.
UCGGAUAUGGUGCAAUGGAUAGCGCGGUCUCGUAAAUCCCCGUAUGGGCCGGGAUGAGGCAGAUCGAGGUUCGAUUCCUUGUGUCCGUG